This 351-nucleotide transfer-messenger RNA is filed under the name Lachnospiraceae bacterium. It matches the Rfam family "transfer-messenger RNA". Rfam says of the family: Bacterial tmRNA, also known as 10Sa RNA or SsrA, is named for its dual tRNA and mRNA-like properties. Its role is to liberate the mRNA from a stalled ribosome. Lineage: Bacteria; Bacillati; Bacillota; Clostridia; Lachnospirales; Lachnospiraceae. The record is from RNAcentral.
GGGCUUGCUCCGGUUUCGACGGGGAUCUUGAACCUUUUGCAGCCAUCCGUAGAGGCGAUACGUUAAAACACCAAAUUAAAAUUAAACGCUGAAGAUAAUUUAGCACUCGCUGCCUAAUGGCGGCGCGUCGGCCUUGAAGCACCUGCGCUUUGAGUAACCGGCGUCAUCCUCGCAGGAAACGACACGGGCAAAGCUUUGAGUCCGCGGGCGUAUCAUGAAGCUACCGAGAUGUACCGCGUGUCUGCUUGCGAUACAUUGAGGGAAACGCGAAAGCACAAUAACAGACUGUGAUGGGAGAAACGAGAGCGGAUGGGUUUUCGGACAGGGGUUCGACUCCCCUCAGGUCCACGA